RNAcentral lists this ribosomal RNA (497 nucleotides) under uncultured bacterium. RNAcentral's name for it is "partial 16S ribosomal RNA". It matches the Rfam family "Bacterial small subunit ribosomal RNA", at positions 28 to 507 of the family's 1533-position model. The record is from RNAcentral.
GAUGAACGCUGGCGGCGUGCCUAAUACAUGCAAGUCGAGCGAACAGACGAGUAGCUUGCUCCUCUGACGUUAGCGGCGGACGGGUGAGUAACACGUGGAUAACCUACCUAUAAGACUGUGAUCACUUCGGGAAACCGGAGCUAAUACCGGCUAAUAUCUUGAACCGCAUGGUUCAAUAGUGAAAGCCGGUUUUGCUGUCACUUAUAGAUGGAUCCGCGCCGCAUUAGCUAGUUGGUAAGGUAACGGCUUACCAAGGCGACGAUGAGUAGCCGACCUGAGAGGGUGAUCGGCCACACUGGAACUGAGACACGGUCCAGACUCCUACGGGAGGCAGCAGUAGGGAAUCUUGCGCAAUGGGCGAAAGCCUGACGGAGCAACGCCGCGUGAGUGAUGAAGGUCUUCGGAUCGUAAAACUCUGUUAUUAGGGAAGAACAAAUGUGUAAGUAACUAUGCACGUCUUGACGGUACCUAAUCAGAAAGCCACGGCUAACUACGUG